This 253-nucleotide ribosomal RNA is filed under the name uncultured bacterium. Its description in RNAcentral is "partial 16S ribosomal RNA". It matches the Rfam family "Bacterial small subunit ribosomal RNA", at positions 524 to 776 of the family's 1533-position model. The record is from RNAcentral.
UACAGAGGGUGCAAGCGUUGUUCGGAAUCACUGGGCGUAAAGGGUGCGUAGGCGGUAAAGUGUGUCUGGCGUGAAAUUCCUCAGCUUAACUGGGGAACUGCGUUAGAAACUGCUUUGCUAGAGUGCAAGAGGGGAUGGUGGAAUUCCCGGUGUAGAGGUGAAAUUCGUAGAUACCGGGAGGAACAUCUGGGGCGAAGGCGACCAUCUGGCUUGACACUGACGCUGAGGCACGAAAGCGUGGGUAGCAAACAGG